Molecule: ribosomal RNA, 257 nt
Filed under: uncultured bacterium
Lineage: Bacteria
Description: partial 16S ribosomal RNA
Rfam family: Bacterial small subunit ribosomal RNA
Source: RNAcentral
UACGAAGGGGCUAGCGUUGCUCGGAAUCACUGGGCUUAAAGGGCGCGUAGGCGGCUUGCCAAGUCAGUGGUGAAAUCCUGCAGCUUAACUGCAGAAGUGCCUUUGAUACUGGCGAGCUCGAGGGAGGUAGGGGUAUGUGGAAACUUCUGGUGGAGCGGUGAAAUGCGUUGAUAUCAAGAAGGAACGCCGGUGGCGAAAGCGACGUACUGGACCUCUUCUGAACGCUGGAGGCGACGAAAGCUAGGGGAGCAAACGGG